RNAcentral lists this ribosomal RNA (368 nucleotides) under uncultured bacterium. RNAcentral's name for it is "bacterial SSU rRNA". It matches the Rfam family "Bacterial small subunit ribosomal RNA", at positions 917 to 1289 of the family's 1533-position model. The record is from RNAcentral.
GGGCCCGCACAAGCGGUGGAGUAUGUGGUUUAAUUCGAUGCAACGCGAAGAACCUUACCAGGGUUUGACAUCCUGCGAAUCUCUUGGAAACGAGAGAGUGCCUUCGGGAACGCAGUGACAGGUGGUGCAUGGCUGUCGUCAGCUCGUGUCGUGAGAUGUUGGGUUAAGUCCCGCAACGAGCGCAACCCACGUCUUUAGUUGCCAGCAUUUAGUUGGGCACUCUAGAGAGACUGCCGGUGAUAAACCGGAGAAGGUGUGGAUGACGUCAAGUCAUCAUGCCCCUUACAUCUGGGCUACACACGUGCUACAAUGGCCGGUACAGAGAGCAGCCACUACGCGAGUAGGAGCGAAUCUUCAAAACCGGUCUC